UACGUAGGGGGCAAGCGUUAUCCGGAGUUAUUGGGCGUAAAGCGUGCGUAGGUGGUUUCUUAAGCGCGGGGUUUAAGGCUAGGGCUUAACCGUAGUUCGCCCCGUGAACUGGGAGACUUGAGUACAGGAGGGGAAAGCGGAAUUCCUAGUGUAGCGGUGAAAUGCGUAGAUAUUAGGAAGAACACCGGUGGCGAAGGCGGCUUUCUGGACUGCAACUGACACUGAGGCACGAAAGCGUGGGGAGCAAACA
Molecule: ribosomal RNA, 250 nt
Filed under: uncultured prokaryote
Description: partial 16S ribosomal RNA
Rfam family: Bacterial small subunit ribosomal RNA
Source: RNAcentral